RNAcentral lists this ribosomal RNA (95 nucleotides) under candidate division WWE3 bacterium RIFOXYB2_FULL_41_6. RNAcentral's name for it is "partial 23S ribosomal RNA". It matches the Rfam family "Bacterial large subunit ribosomal RNA", at positions 2538 to 2632 of the family's 2925-position model. Lineage: Bacteria; candidate division WWE3. The record is from RNAcentral.
CAUCACAUCCUGGCGCUGAAGAAGGUGCCAAGGGUCGGUCUGUUCGCCCGUUAAAGUGAUACGCGAGCUGGGUUCAGAACGUCGUGAGACAGUUC